Molecule: transfer RNA, 74 nt
Filed under: Loxodonta africana (African savanna elephant)
Lineage: Eukaryota; Metazoa; Chordata; Mammalia; Proboscidea; Elephantidae
Rfam family: tRNA
About the family: Transfer RNA (tRNA) molecules are approximately 80 nucleotides in length. Their secondary structure includes four short double-helical elements and three loops (D, anti-codon, and T loops).
Source: Rfam by way of RNAcentral
AUGCCUGUGGCCCAACGGUUAAGUGCUUGUGGCUGCUAACCAAAAGGUUGGUGGUUUGAACCCACCCACCGAUA